Molecule: long non-coding RNA, 1023 nt
Filed under: Salmo salar (Atlantic salmon)
Lineage: Eukaryota; Metazoa; Chordata; Actinopteri; Salmoniformes; Salmonidae
Description: lncRNA (ENSSSAG00000110876.1)
Source: RNAcentral
GGGGCUCGACUGAUCACCCUGCAACACACACAGAGAGGUGAUCAGAGUCUCUACGACCAGCUUCAGCCCUGGGGCUCGACUGAUCACCCUGCAACACACACAGAGACCCACCCCCCUACCUGAGAGGUCGUAGUGUGGUCGUAGUGCGGUUGUAGUGUGGUCCUACCUGAGAGGUCGUAGUGCGGUCGUAGUGCGGUCGUAGUGCGGUCGUAGUGCGGUCGUAGUGCGGUCGUAGUGCGGUCCUACCUGAGAGGUCGUAGUGUGGUCGUAGUGUGGUCGUAGUGAGGUCGUAGUGUGGUCGUAGUGCGGUCGUAGUGCGGUCAUACCUGAGAGGUCGUAGUGUGGUCGUAGUGUGGUUGUAGUGCGGUCGUAGUGAGGUCGUAGUGCAGUCGUAUUGCGGUCCUACCUGAGAGGUCGUAGUGUGGUCGUAGUGCGGUCGUAGUGAGGUCGUAGUGUGGUCCUACCUGAGAGGUCGUAGUGCGGUCGUAGUGUGGUCAUAGUGCGGUCAUAGUGUGGUCGUAGUGCGGUCGUAGUGCGGUCAUAGUGUGGUCCUACCUGAGAGGUCGUAGUGCGGUCAUAGUGUGGUCCUACCUGAGAGGUCGUAGUGCGGUCGUAGUGCGGUCAUAGUGUGGUCGUAGUGAGGUCGUAGUGUGGUCGUAGUGUGGUCCUACCUGAGAGGUCAUAGUGCGGUCGUAGUGCGGUCGUAGUGUGGUCGUAGUGUGGUCGUAGUGUGGUCGUAGUGUGGUCCUACCUGAGAGGUCGUAGUGUGGUCAUAGUGUGGUCCUACCUGAGAGGUCGUAGUGUGCGUAGCAGUCGUAGUACUCUGAGGAUUCCCAGGAUGCGGUUCCCUCCGGUCAAGGCCAGAGACACCAGGAUGUCCACCAUAGAGACAAACACCAGGAUCCCAUCCAGAACAUUCCAGCUGCUCUUCAGGUAGCUCUGUUUACCCCAGCAGAACCCCAACGCUACGAUCUACAGACACAACAUUACGAAAACAAUAACAGAGAGCAGACUGAAACAGAC